CCUACGGGGGGCUGCAGUGAGGAAUAUUGGUCAAUGGGCGGAAGCCUGAACCAGCCAAGUAGCGUGCAGGAUGACGGCCCUACGAGUUGUAAACUGCUUUUAUACGGGAAUAACGCGCCUUACGUGUAGGGCUUUGCAUGUACCGUAUGAAUAAGGACCGGCUAAUUCCGUGCCAGCAGCCGCGGUAAUACGGAAGGUCCAGGCGUUAUCCGGAUUUAUUGGGUUUAAGGGGAGCGUAGGCGGCUUGUCAAGAUUGAUGUGAAAUGUCCGGGCUUAACCCGGGACGUGCAGCGAGUACUGGCGUUCUUGAGAUCGGGGAAGGUAGGCGGAAUGCGUGGUGUAGCGGUGAAAUGCUUAGAUAUGACAGAGAACGCCGAUUGCGAAGGCAGCGUGCUGGAGUGGAACUGACGCUGAGGCUCGAAAGCGUGGGUAGCGAACAGGAUUAGAGACCCCUGUAGUC
This 460-nucleotide ribosomal RNA is filed under the name uncultured bacterium. Its description in RNAcentral is "partial 16S ribosomal RNA". It matches the Rfam family "Bacterial small subunit ribosomal RNA", at positions 338 to 795 of the family's 1533-position model. The record is from RNAcentral.